RNAcentral lists this ribosomal RNA (1238 nucleotides) under Salmonella enterica subsp. enterica serovar Oranienburg. RNAcentral's name for it is "partial 23S ribosomal RNA". It matches the Rfam family "Bacterial large subunit ribosomal RNA", at positions 1 to 1269 of the family's 2925-position model. The record is from RNAcentral. Lineage: Bacteria; Pseudomonadati; Pseudomonadota; Gammaproteobacteria; Enterobacterales; Enterobacteriaceae.
GGGUUGUGAGGUUAAGCGACUAAGCGUACACGGUGGAUGCCCUGGCAGUCAGAGGCGAUGAAGGACGUGCUAAUCUGCGAUAAGCGCCGGUAAGGUGAUAUGAACCGUUAUAACCGGCGAUUUCCGAAUGGGGAAACCCAGUGUGACUCGUCACACUAUCAUUAACUGAAUCCAUAGGUUAAUGAGGCGAACCGGGGGAACUGAAACAUCUAAGUACCCCGAGGAAAAGAAAUCAACCGAGAUUCCCCCAGUAGCGGCGAGCGAACGGGGAGGAGCCCAGAGCCUGAAUCAGCAUGUGUGUUAGUGGAAGCGUCUGGAAAGGCGCGCGAUACAGGGUGACAGCCCCGUACACAAAAGCGCAUGUGCUGUGAGCUCGAUGAGUAGGGCGGGACACGUGGUAUCCUGUCUGAAUAUGGGGGGACCAUCCUCCAAGGCUAAAUACUCCUGACUGACCGAUAGUGAACCAGUACCGUGAGGGAAAGGCGAAAAGAACCCCGGCGAGGGGAGUGAAAAAGAACCUGAAACCGUGUACGUACAAGCAGUGGGAGCACCCUUUGGGGUGUGACUGCGUACCUUUUGUAUAAUGGGUCAGCGACUUAUAUUCUGUAGCAAGGUUAACCGUAUAGGGGAGCCGGAGGGAAACCGAGUCUUAACCGGGCGUUAAGUUGCAGGGUAUAGACCCGAAACCCGGUGAUCUAGCCAUGGGCAGGUUGAAGGUUGGGUAACACUAACUGGAGGACCGAACCGACUAAUGUUGAAAAAUUAGCGGAUGACCUGUGGCUGGGGGUGAAAGGCCAAUCAAACCGGGAGAUAGCUGGUUCUCCCCGAAAGCUAUUUAGGUAGCGCCUCGUGAAUUCAUCUCCGGGGGUAGAGCACUGUUUCGGCUAGGGGGCCAUCCCGGCUUACCAACCCGAUGCAAACUGCGAAUACCGGAGAAUGUUAUCACGGGAGACACACGGCGGGUGCUAACGUCCGUCGUGAAGAGGGAAACAACCCAGACCGCCAGCUAAGGUCCCAAAGUCAUGGUUAAGUGGGAAACGAUGUGGGAAGGCCCAGACAGCCAGGAUGUUGGCUUAGAAGCAGCCAUCAUUUAAAGAAAGCGUAAUAGCUCACUGGUCGAGUCGGCCUGCGCGGAAGAUGUAACGGGGCUAAACCAUGCACCGAAGCUGCGGCAGCGACACUCAGGUGUUGUUGGGUAGGGGAGCGUUCUGUAAGCCUGCGAAGGUGUGUCGUGAGGC